RNAcentral lists this ribosomal RNA (497 nucleotides) under uncultured bacterium. RNAcentral describes it as "partial 16S ribosomal RNA". It matches the Rfam family "Bacterial small subunit ribosomal RNA", at positions 28 to 507 of the family's 1533-position model. The record is from RNAcentral.
GAUGAACGCUGGCGGCGUGCCUAAUACAUGCAAGUCGAGCGAACGGACGAGAAGCUUGCUUCUCUGAUGUUAGCGGCGGACGGGUGAGUAACACGUGGAUAACCUACCUAUAAGACUGGGAUAACUUCGGGGAACCGGAGCUAAUACCGGAUGAUAUUUUGAACCGCAUGGAUCAAAAGUGAAAGACGGUCUUGAUGUCCCUUAUAGAUGGAUCCGCGCUGCAUUAGCUAGUUGGUAAGGUAACGGCUUACCAAGGCAACGAUGCAUAGCCGACCUGAGAGGGUGAUCGGCCACACUGGAACUGAGACACGGUCCAGACUCCUACGGGAGGCAGCAGUAGGGAAUCUUCCGCAAUGGGCGAAAGCCUGACGGAGCAACGCCGCGUGAGUGAUGAAGGUCUUCGGAUCGUAAAACUCUGUUAUUAGGGAAGAACAUAUGUGUAAGUAACUGUGCACAUCUUGACGUUACCUAAUCAGAAAGCCACGGCUAACUACGUG